RNAcentral lists this ribosomal RNA (468 nucleotides) under uncultured bacterium. Its description in RNAcentral is "partial 16S ribosomal RNA". It matches the Rfam family "Bacterial small subunit ribosomal RNA", at positions 28 to 507 of the family's 1533-position model. The record is from RNAcentral.
GACGAACGCUGGCGGCGUGCUUAACACAUGCAAGUCGAACGGAAAGGCCCUGCUUUUGUUGGUUGCUCGAGUGCCGAACGGGUGAGUAACACGUGAGUAACCUGCCCUUGACUUUGUGAUAACUUCAGGAAACUGGGGCUAAUACCGGGUAUGAGCUCCUGCUGCAUGGUGGGGGUUGGUAAGUUUCGGCGGUGGGGGAUGGACUCGCGGCUUAUCAGCUUGUUGGUGGGGUAGUGGCUUACCAAGGCUUUGACGGGUAGCCGGCCUGAGAGGGUGACCGGCGACAUUGGGACUGAGAUACGGCCCAGACUGCUACGGGAGGCAGCAGUGGGGAAUAUUGCACAGUGGGCGGAAGCCUGAUGCAGCAACGCCGCGUGCGGGAUGACGGCCUUCGGGUUGUAAACCGCUUUCGCCUGUGACGAAGCGGGAGUGACGGUAAUGGGUCAAGAAGCACCGGCUAACUACGUG